AGAAUUAGAUCAUACUGUUUCCACUGGCACAUCUAUGGUAGUUUUCUGUCCACUAUGUCUUUGUUUACGGCAGGCACUGCAGUUCCGUUUCUGUUCCUGUGAGUUGUUGGGGUUCAGUGGAAUAAUAUGUUUGCAGAAGUAUAACUGUAACCCAACUGCAAAUAAACAUGAAAUAAUACGGUUGUCUACUGGGUUAUAGCGCAGUGUGGAGUAUUAGAAGUUUAGAGUUCUCACAUACUCUGAUCAGGCUGGAAAAAACUACAAACAGGAUGGCAACUAGUGUCUGCCACAUCCCUAAUUUUUCUUCUGCUAUACUGCCUCAUGUGACUAACAGCCAAAAAACCUUACCAGUCUGUGUUUGGUGUGAAUGUCAUGGGCUAAAAGAAUUCUGUCUUCUUUGCCAGCCUCAAUGAGAGAAACCACCUUGUCCAUUCUCUGUGCAUCAGAAGGCAUGUCUACUGUGGGGCUCAUCUGAUACAAUAUUGGAUUAAAAUAUAAAAUUUGAUUUGGGCUUCAUGUAAAGUAAGGUUUAUAGCUGAUUGGUACAUUUU
Molecule: non-coding RNA, 551 nt
Organism: Zootermopsis nevadensis
Lineage: Eukaryota; Metazoa; Arthropoda; Insecta; Blattodea; Termopsidae
Source: RefSeq, a predicted model, not a curated record